RNAcentral lists this long non-coding RNA (211 nucleotides) under Glycine max (soybean). RNAcentral's name for it is "long non-coding RNA (GMAX_LNC002237)". Lineage: Eukaryota; Viridiplantae; Streptophyta; Magnoliopsida; Fabales; Fabaceae. The record is from RNAcentral.
CCCUCUCGCGAUCGUCAGGCAGUCCUGCAUAAUGUCAUAUAACUUUGUGCCUGCAGUGACUAUCCUAAGGUUGAGCACACGCUCCAGCCUCUGUGCAAUCGCCUCAUAUCCCUCGUAAUCAUCCUGUCAAAGUCAUUAAAAACAUUUAUUAUGAAAUUUAAAAUAAACAACAACUCAUAAAACAUUAAACGCGCAAAUAAUCUUACCACAU